AGUGAACGCUGGCGGUAGGCCUAACACAUGCAAGUCGAACGGCAGCACAGUAAGAGCUUGCUCUUACGGGUGGCGAGUGGCGGACGGGUGAGGAAUACAUCGGAAUCUACUUUUUCGUGGGGGAUAACGUAGGGAAACUUACGCUAAUACCGCAUACGACCUACGGGUGAAAGCAGGGGAUCUUCGGACCUUGCGCGAUUGAAUGAGCCGAUGUCGGAUUAGCUAGUUGGCGGGGUAAAGGCCCACCAAGGCGACGAUCCGUAGCUGGUCUGAGAGGAUGAUCAGCUACACUGGAACUGAGACACGGUCCAGACUCCUACAGGAGGCAGCAGUGGGGAAUAUUGGACAAUGGGCGCAAGCCUGAUCCAGCCCUACCGCGUGGGUGAAGAAGGCCUUCGGGUUGUAGAGCCCUUUUGUUGGGAAAGAAAAGCAGCAGGUUAAUACCCCGCUGUUCUGACGGUACCCAAAGAAUAAGCACCGGCUAACUUCGUG
RNAcentral lists this ribosomal RNA (492 nucleotides) under uncultured bacterium. RNAcentral's name for it is "partial 16S ribosomal RNA". It matches the Rfam family "Bacterial small subunit ribosomal RNA", at positions 29 to 507 of the family's 1533-position model. The record is from RNAcentral.